RNAcentral lists this unclassified non-coding RNA (346 nucleotides) under soil metagenome. RNAcentral's name for it is "partial contains 5.8S ribosomal RNA, internal transcribed spacer 2, and large subunit ribosomal RNA". The stretch from base 1 to 119 matches the Rfam family "5.8S ribosomal RNA", at positions 35 to 154 of the family's 154-position model. The record is from RNAcentral.
GAUGAAGAACGUAGCGAAAUGCGAUACGUAAUGUGAAUUGCAAAUUCAGUGAAUCAUCGAGUCUUUGAACGCACAUUGCGCCCCCUGGUAUUCCGGGGGGCAUGCCUGUCCGAGCGUCAUUGCUGCCCUCAAGCACGGCUUGUGUGUUGGGCCCCGUCCUCCGAUCCCGGGGGACGGGCCCGAAAGGCAGCGGCGGCACCGCGUCCGGUCCUCGAGCGUAUGGGGCUUUGUCACCCGCUCUGUAGGCCCGGCCGGCGCUUGCCGAUCAACCCAAAUUUUUUAUCCAGGUUGACCUCGGAUCAGGUAGUGAUACCCGCUGAACUUAAGCAUAUCAAUAAGCGGAGGA